GACGAACGCUGGCGGCGUGCUUAACACAUGCAAGUCGAACGGAAAGGCACUGCUUUUGUGGGGUGCUCGAGUGGCGAACGGGUGAGUAACACGUGAGUAACCUGCCCUUGACUUUGGGAUAACUUAAGGAAACUGGGGCUAAUACCGGAUAGGAGCUCAUGCUGCAUGGUGGGGGUUGGAAAGUUUCGGCGGUUGGGGAUGGACUCGCGGCUUAUCAGCUUGUUGGUGGGGUAGUGGCUUACCAAGGAUUUGACGGGUAGCCGGCCUGAGAGGGUGACCGGCCACAUGGGGACUAAGAGACGGCCCAGACGCCUACGGGGGGCAGCAGUCGCGAAUAUUGCACAAUGGGCGGAAGCCUGAUGCAGCAACGCCGCGUGCGGGAUGACGGCCUUCGGGUUGUAAACCGCUUUCGCCUGUGACGAAGCGUGAGUGACGGUAAUGGGUAAAGAAGCACCGGCUAACUACGUG
Molecule: ribosomal RNA, 468 nt
Filed under: uncultured bacterium
Lineage: Bacteria
Description: partial 16S ribosomal RNA
Rfam family: Bacterial small subunit ribosomal RNA
Source: RNAcentral